GAUGGGCGCAGCUGAUGCAGCGACGCCGCGUGAGGGAUGACGGCCUUCGGGUUGUAAACCUCUUUCAGUAGGGAAGAAGCGAAAGUGACGGUACCUGCAGAAGAAGCACCGGCUAACUACGUGCCAGCAGCCGCGGUAAUACGUAGGGUGCGAGCGUUAUCCGGAAUUAUUGGGCGUAAAGAGCUCGUAGGCGGUUUGUCGCGUCUGUCGUGAAAGUCCGGGGCUUAACCCCGGAUCUGCGGUGGGUACGGGCAGACUAGAGUGCAGUAGGGGAGACUGGAAUUCCUGGUGUAGCGGUGGAAUGCGCAGAUAUCAGGAGGAACACCGAUGGCGAAGGCAGGUCUCUGGGCUGUAACUGACGCUGAGGAGCGAAAGCAUGGGGAGCGAACAGGAUUAGAUACCCCGGUAGUCA
RNAcentral lists this ribosomal RNA (412 nucleotides) under Micrococcus luteus. RNAcentral's name for it is "bacterial SSU rRNA". It matches the Rfam family "Bacterial small subunit ribosomal RNA", at positions 370 to 796 of the family's 1533-position model. The record is from RNAcentral. Lineage: Bacteria; Bacillati; Actinomycetota; Actinomycetes; Micrococcales; Micrococcaceae.